UGAGGAAUAUUGCCCAAUGGGAGAAAUCCUGAAGCAGCAACGCCGCGUGGAGGAUGAAGGGUCUAUGACUUGUAAACUCCUGUAAAGAAGGAAAAAAUUCCCAUUUGAUGGGAGAUGAUGGUACUUCUGGAGUAAGCCCCGGCUAACUACGUGCCAGCAGCCGCGGUAAUACGUGGGUGGCAAGCGUUGUCCGGAUUUACUGGGUGUAAAGGGCGUGUAGACGGGACUUAAAGUCAGAUGUGAAAUACCGCAGCUCAACUGCGGGGCUGCAUUUGAAACUUAAGUUCUUGAGUGCAGGAGANGAAAGCGGAAUUCCUAGUGUAGCGGUGAAAUGCGUAGAUAUUAGGAGGAACACCGGUGGCGAAGGCGGCUUUCUGGACUGUAACUGACGUUGAGGCGCGAAAGCGUGGGUAGCAAAC
This 419-nucleotide ribosomal RNA is filed under the name uncultured bacterium. RNAcentral's name for it is "bacterial SSU rRNA". It matches the Rfam family "Bacterial small subunit ribosomal RNA", at positions 355 to 773 of the family's 1533-position model. The record is from RNAcentral.